Molecule: long non-coding RNA, 1110 nt
Organism: Galeopterus variegatus (Sunda flying lemur)
Lineage: Eukaryota; Metazoa; Chordata; Mammalia; Dermoptera; Cynocephalidae
Exons: 3
Source: RefSeq, a predicted model, not a curated record
AGGGCAAGGGGUCCCCGGCCGAGGCUCUCCGGAGGUUGGUACGCCGCUUUGGGGAGCGAGGCUUCUGUGCGGGAUUGCGAUGCAUGCCGAGAGCCGGCCUCAGACCUGCAUCCACCCUCCGCUGCACUGUAUGGGUUUGAGGCUAAGAUGUUUAGCCCGGAAUUCACUUACUUGUACCCCCAGAGACCUGAUCCCCUAGUGAUGGACAUUUGUUUCCAGUCUUUUGUGAUUAUAAAGAAAGCAGCAAUGGAUACCCCUGGGGUCAAAAGGUCCAUGGCCAUCAGAAAAACCCAGAGAAGCAGACCCGUCCUGCUGUGAACCCAAAAUCCUUUGUCCUAGAACUUGGUGAGGCCGUUAACAGAAUUAGUUGAAUUUUAGACAGAGAAUUUGAGCUGCUAGUGGAAUAUCCACAUGGAGAUGCCAAUAAGAAGCCUAACUAUAGGAAUCAGUAUUGGAAACACCACAUCAGUUCACAGCUAGAAAUCAACUUUGAGAGUCCUCAGCAUCCAGUGUGUGGCUUAUACCAUGAGUAUCUAGGUAAGAAACUAUCUCCCUCUCUGGAGAGGGACUGAGGACAGGCCCUGGAGAUGAACAACAUUUCAGAGACAGGAAGUCGUGAAACGUGAGAAUUAGUAAGCAUGUCACUUUAAUCUCUAAGUAAAGACUAGUAACAUUUGAUAACCAAAAAAUGGCUCUGACCAGGUCAGCUAAAUUAUAGUGCCUUGGAAGAUCUGGAAUAAAUCCGUAAUCACAUUCACCUCCUGGAAAACUUUAUCAUAAGACCGUUUUUACUUAGAAGCAGAUUAAUGGCAUCAAAAAGCCAUAAAAUAACCUUGAAUGCUUAUUACCCUUACUUUAGAUCCCUGCAUGUAGGAUGUAACUUUGUAACAAUCCCAAAUCUACACAUCAUGUGCAACCAAUAGAAAGCCUGAUGAAGUAAUUAGGUGGGGCUGUCUUUCUGUCUCUCUCCUUCAGCCAUUCCCCCUUCUUGUGACUGUAAAAUGCUAAGCUCUGCUGGUUCUCUUCGGAACACAUUUCUUGGGGUGGCCUUACUGUGGGUCUCCCUGGUUGCAAUUGUCAUAUUGGCUCAAUAAAUCGUUGCCAUAUGUA